GUUGGCUCCUAGCAGCAGCGUUCUACUUCCUCCAAAGAAGAUGGAAGACAAAUGGGCACAGAACAACGUCCAUCUGUAAUUUGUUUCAACUGCCAAGUACUGACCACUGGGUGAAACUGCCUUUUAUCUAAACUGAAGAUCUCCAGACGUGGACAGAAUUGCUGGAAUCAACCGCCUAGCUGCUCAGGUCAAGGACCCAACUGUGGCCGAGUCUCAGUAGUUUACCCUAAGGCAAUACCUGGUUCCAAGAAAGACCACAAACUGAGACUACCCAGGAACCACCCAGGAGCAGACCAUCCACAGGAGAUUCCUAGCAUUCCAACGUUGUAGAUAGGAUCACCUGCCAGCACACACCCAUUAUUUUCAUCAGGACACCCCCACCUUCGCUACUAUAAAAACCCAACCCUAACUGAGCUUGGGGCUCUCCGAUUAUUCCAAUAUGUUGGGCACAUGGAGAGACCGAGUUUGCAAACUUAUGUAAGAAUAAAGGCUUUUUGCUUUUACA
Molecule: long non-coding RNA, 505 nt
Organism: Microtus oregoni (creeping vole)
Lineage: Eukaryota; Metazoa; Chordata; Mammalia; Rodentia; Cricetidae
Exons: 2
Source: RefSeq, a predicted model, not a curated record